RNAcentral lists this ribosomal RNA (440 nucleotides) under uncultured Hyphomonadaceae bacterium. RNAcentral's name for it is "bacterial SSU rRNA". It matches the Rfam family "Bacterial small subunit ribosomal RNA", at positions 338 to 795 of the family's 1533-position model. Lineage: Bacteria; Pseudomonadati; Pseudomonadota; Alphaproteobacteria; Hyphomonadales; Hyphomonadaceae. The record is from RNAcentral.
CCUACGGGAGGCAGCAGUGGGGAAUCUUGGACAAUGGGCGCAAGCCUGAUCCAGCCAUGCCGCGUGAGUGACGAAGGCCCUAGGGUUGUAAAACUCUUUCGCAGGUGACGAUAAUGACGGUAACCUGAGAAGAAGCUCCGGCUAACUUCGUGCCAGCAGCCGCGGUAAUACGAAGGGGGCUAGCGUUGUUCGGAUUUACUGGGCGUAAAGCGCGUGUAGGCGGGUCGUUAAGUUGGGGGUGAAAGCCCGGAGCUCAACUCCGGAAUUGCCUUCAAGACUGGCGGCCUGGACCCAAGGAGAGGCAAGUGGAAUUGCGAGUGUAGAGGUGAAAUUCGUAGAUAUUCGCAGGAACACCAGUGGCGAAGGCGACUUGCUGGACUUGUGGUGACGCUGAGACGCGAAAGCGUGGGGAGCAAACAGGAUUAGAUACCCGAGUAGUC